Molecule: ribosomal RNA, 886 nt
Filed under: uncultured bacterium
Lineage: Bacteria
Description: bacterial SSU rRNA
Rfam family: Bacterial small subunit ribosomal RNA
Source: RNAcentral
GAGUUUGAUCAUGGCUCAGAUUGAACGCUGGCGGCAGGCCUAACACAUGCAAGUCGAGCGGCAGCACGGGGAGCUUGCUCCCUGGUGGCGAGCGGCGGACGGGUGAGUAAUGCAUGGGAAUCUGCCCGGUAGUGGGGGAUAACCCGGGGAAACCCGGGCUAAUACCGCAUACGUCCUACGGGAGAAAGCAGGGGAUCUUCGGACCUUGCGCUAUCGGAUGAGCCCAUGUCGGAUUAGCUUGCUGGUGAGGUAACGGCUCACCAGGGCGACGAUCCGUAGCUGGUCUGAGAGGAUGAUCAGCCACACCGGGACUGAGACACGGCCCGGACUCCUACGGGAGGCAGCAGUGGGGAAUAUUGGACAAUGGGGGAAACCCUGAUCCAGCCAUGCCGCGUGUGUGAAGAAGGCUUUCGGGUUGUAAAGCACUUUCAGCGGGGAAGAAGGCAUGGCGGUUAAUACCCGCCAUGAAGGACAUCACCCGCAGAAGAAGCACCGGCUAACUCCGUGCCAGCAGCCGCGGUAAUACGGAGGGUGCAAGCGUCAAUCGGAAUUACUGGGCGUAAAGGGCGCGUAGGCGGCCUGCCAAGCCGGAUGUGAAAGCCCCGGGCUCAACCCGGGAACGGCAUUCGGAACUGGCAGGCUAGAGUGCAGGAGAGGAAGGUGGAAUUCCCGGUGUAGCGGUGAAAUGCGUAGAGAUCGGGAGGAAUACCAGUGGCGAAGGCGGCCUUCUGGACUGACACUGACGCUGAGGCGCGAAAGCGUGGGUAGCAAACAGGAUUAGAUACCCUGUUAGUCCACGCCGUAAACGAUGUCGACCAGCCGUUGGACCCCCUGAGGGUCUGGUGGCGCAGUUAACGCAAUAAGUCCAACGCCUGGGGAGUACGGC